This 862-nucleotide ribosomal RNA is filed under the name Enterococcus hirae. Its description in RNAcentral is "bacterial SSU rRNA". It matches the Rfam family "Bacterial small subunit ribosomal RNA", at positions 64 to 896 of the family's 1533-position model. Lineage: Bacteria; Bacillati; Bacillota; Bacilli; Lactobacillales; Enterococcaceae. The record is from RNAcentral.
CGACGCUUCUUUUUCCACCGGAGCUUGCUCCACCGGAAAAAGAGGAGUGGCGAACGGGUGAGUAACACGUGGGUAACCUGCCCAUCAGAAGGGGAUAACACUUGGAAACAGGUGCUAAUACCGUAUAACAAUCGAAACCGCAUGGUUUUGAUUUGAAAGGCGCUUUCGGGUGUCGCUGAUGGAUGGACCCGCGGUGCAUUAGCUAGUUGGUGAGGUAACGGCUCACCAAGGCGACGAUGCAUAGCCGACCUGAGAGGGUGAUCGGCCACAUUGGGACUGAGACACGGCCCAAACUCCUACGGGAGGCAGCAGUAGGGAAUCUUCGGCAAUGGACGAAAGUCUGACCGAGCAACGCCGCGUGAGUGAAGAAGGUUUUCGGAUCGUAAAACUCUGUUGUUAGAGAAGAACAAGGAUGAGAGUAACUGUUCAUCCCUUGACGGUAUCUAACCAGAAAGCCACGGCUAACUACGUGCCAGCAGCCGCGGUAAUACGUAGGUGGCAAGCGUUGUCCGGAUUUAUUGGGCGUAAAGCGAGCGCAGGCGGUUUCUUAAGUCUGAUGUGAAAGCCCCCGGCUCAACCGGGGAGGGUCAUUGGAAACUGGGAGACUUGAGUGCAGAAGAGGAGAGUGGAAUUCCAUGUGUAGCGGUGAAAUGCGUAGAUAUAUGGAGGAACACCAGUGGCGAAGGCGGCUCUCUGGUCUGUAACUGACGCUGAGGCUCGAAAGCGUGGGGAGCAAACAGGAUUAGAUACCCUGGUAGUCCACGCCGUAAACGAUGAGUGCUAAGUGUUGGAGGGUUUCCGCCCUUCAGUGCUGCAGCUAACGCAUUAAGCACUCCGCCUGGGGAGUACGACCGCAAGGUUG